CACUAUCUAGGGCAAAACUCUUUUCCCCUCGAACACGCAGGAGCUCACGUGGAUGGCCAUCAGGCCUCCGCAGCUGUGCAAGUCUUCCCCAGGUCCCAAAUCCCAAUCACCGUCGACCUCAAGAAGAGAAUAAUUCCAGUCGCACACGCACGACCACCAGGCGGAGGCUCCUGUCUGGCUUGUCGAAGCUAGAAAGGAGCCCUAACUUACUAACUUAGACGGCCAGAGAAGUUAAUGGGCUAGAAGUUAUACUGCCUCCGUCUCAAAAUAUAAUAACUUUUUAACUUUUCUAAAUCAAAUAUUUUCAUCUUUGACCAAUAAUAUCUCAAAAAAUAAUUACUUGUAAAUAAAAGAUUACAUUUUACUAUAUUUGGUUUCAUUACGAAUAAAUUAAUAUCACUUUUAUGUUGUCAAUCUUUAUACCCGUUUUACCAUCUACGGUCAAAGAUGAAAAUAUUUGAGUUUGAAAAAUCAAAAAGUUGUUAUAUUUUGAAACGGUGGUAGUAGCUGGACCUCGUCAAGCGCAAAGCCUUGAUCAGAAAUGUACAACAGGAUGUGGGGAGGUAAGCCUACACUUGCAGUAGUGAAUAUGCAGUGCAAUGACUUUUUCUUGCUAUUUUUUUCUUUCCGUGUGGGCUUUAGCCUCGAAAGGCUUGGCUAUAUAUAUUUUUCAUGUUUGAGUUCAUUAUUUCUUUUCUGUUUUUCUUCCUCCACUUUUAAAUUUAUGUUAUUAGUAUAUUGUUCCUUUUCUAUUUUCCUUCCUCCAAUUUUUUAAUUUUUAUUAUUCUAUGCCCCACGUGCAUAUUCUUA
Panicum virgatum (switchgrass) is the source of this 810-nucleotide long non-coding RNA. RefSeq lists it as uncharacterized. The transcript is spliced from 2 exons. NCBI's taxonomy places the organism in Eukaryota, Viridiplantae, Streptophyta, Magnoliopsida, Poales, Poaceae. The record is from RefSeq and is a predicted model, not a curated record.